Molecule: ribosomal RNA, 484 nt
Filed under: uncultured bacterium
Lineage: Bacteria
Description: partial 16S ribosomal RNA
Rfam family: Bacterial small subunit ribosomal RNA
Source: RNAcentral
AGUGAACGCUGGCGGCAGGCCUAACACAUGCAAGUCGAGCGGCAGCGCGGGGGCAACCCUGGCGGCGAGCGGCGGACGGGUGAGGAAUUCGUCGGAAUCUGCCUUUUUGUGGGGGAUAACGUAGGGAAACUUACGCUAAUACCGCAUACGUCCUACGGGAGAAAGUGGGGGACCGCAAGGCCUCACGCAGAAAGAUGAGCCGACGACCGAUUAGCUAGUUGGUGGGGUAAAGGCCCACCAAGGCGACGAUCGGUAGCUGGUCUGAGAGGAUGAACAGCCACACUGGGACUGAGACACGGCCCAGACUCCUACGGGAGGCAGCAGUGGGGAAUAUUGGACAAUGGGCGCAAGCCUGAUCCAGCCAUGCCGCGUGUGUGAAGAAGGCCUUCGGGUUGUAAAGCACUUUUGUCCGGAAAGAAAUCCCUGGAGCUAAUACCUUCGGGGGAUGACGGUACCGGAAGAAUAAGCACCGGCUAACUUCGUG